RNAcentral lists this ribosomal RNA (24 nucleotides) under Aedes aegypti (yellow fever mosquito). RNAcentral's name for it is "partial 28S ribosomal RNA". The record is from RNAcentral. Lineage: Eukaryota; Metazoa; Arthropoda; Insecta; Diptera; Culicidae. RNAcentral also lists the same sequence under 3 other names.
AGUAGGCCUCAAAUAAUGUGUGAC